AACGUACGAAUCACGUUUUUGUGAAAAGAAACAGUAAAAAAGCAACCCAACAACAGCAAAAUGAACGUUUUUAGGUCAUUGAAUUGAAGAUUGAAGCUUGAAACUCCCACCAUUCAAAGCUAACACUCUCACUCACGCUAAUUUGUUUCUGUCAAAUCGGUUUGUUACUUAACCCACUCACGCUAAUUUUAAUACUCUUCGUUUUAUUGGGGGGUUUUGGGUUUCAUUAUUAUUUGAUCAUUGAUUUUACUAUUAUUCUUUUUCGGGUAUUGUUUGAUGAAGUUAAGAAUCUGCAUACACUUUUGAUUUUAAGUUUGUAUCUGAGUGUGAUUUAGUAGAAUUUGUGACUUUUCACAUGAUUUGCAUUUUCCAAAAUGCUGGUGGAAAGAAAAUGGACUCCAAGAAACUCAUCAAUUUGUGCGACUUUUGUUUUGGAAGCUUUUUGAUGCUCUAGAAAUCUAUUUGAAAUGGAUUUGUGCUAGUUGUAGUUCUUAGAAAUUUUGGGUUGUACCUAACUCAACCCUACAAAAUCAGCACUAUUGGGUCUGGUUUGGUGCGUGGGNNNNNNNNNNNNNNNNNNNNNNNNNNNNNNNNNNNNNNNNNCACCCCCUCACCCCAACACUAUUGGGGCGUGGAUAUAAAUGGUAGAUGACCUAGCAGUGAAAACUUGAUAGCGGCCCAACGGAUCUUGGAGAGACUCUGAUAACGUCUUGGAAAUUUUGGGUUGAGCUUAACUCAACCCUUCAUAACUGGUUUUUUUAAGGUGAGGAUCGCCCCAUGUAUAAAUAUAUGGUCACGCCAUCUCUCAACCAAUGGGGGAUAAUUAACAGUAGUAAAGAAGCUUUAUGACAAAGAUGACUCUUUUAUGAGAAUGUAACCGACUAAGAGCAUGUUUGGAUUGACUUACUUGAGUUUAUCUACUGUGGAUUGACUUACUUGAGCUUAUCUACUAGCAUAAGAACUUGUGAGAUUGUUUGAGUGAGCUUAUAGAAACAACUUAUGACAUGUUCAUAUGUUGUUUUAAGCUUAUUUCCAUAAACUAUUAUGGAUAGCUUAUGUAAUGUAAACAACUUAUAUGAAAACAUUUUGACUUUAUUUUACCUUCUAUUUAUUGUAGAAAUUAUACGUAGGCAUUUCUACAAUGAGCACUUAAUUAAGUUGUUUAUACAAACAAGGCCUAAUUUGAAAUGUGAUUCCAUUUUCAUAGUCUUUUUAAGAAGAAUU
This 1224-nucleotide long non-coding RNA is filed under the name Trifolium pratense (red clover). Its description in RNAcentral is "long non-coding RNA (TPRA_LNC012603)". The record is from RNAcentral. Lineage: Eukaryota; Viridiplantae; Streptophyta; Magnoliopsida; Fabales; Fabaceae.